RNAcentral lists this ribosomal RNA (354 nucleotides) under uncultured bacterium. RNAcentral's name for it is "bacterial SSU rRNA". It matches the Rfam family "Bacterial small subunit ribosomal RNA", at positions 8 to 350 of the family's 1533-position model. The record is from RNAcentral.
AGAGUUUGAUCCUGGCUCAGGAUGAACGCUAGCUACAGGCUUAACACAUGCAAGUCGAGGGGCAUCAGUUUGGUUUGCUUGCAAACCAAAGCUGGCGACCGGCGCACGGGUGAGUAACACGUAUCCAACCUGCCUCAUACUCGGGGAUAGCCUUUCGAAAGAAAGAUUAAUAUCCGAUAGCAUAUAUUUCCCGCAUGGGUUUUAUAUUAAAGAAAUUCGGUAUGAGAUGGGGAUGCGUUCCAUUAGUUUGUUGGCGGGGUAACGGCCCACCAAGACUACGAUGGAUAGGGGUUCUGAGAGGAAGGGUCCCCCACACUUGGAACUGAGACACGGUCCAAACUUCUACGGGAGGCA